RNAcentral lists this ribosomal RNA (495 nucleotides) under uncultured bacterium. RNAcentral describes it as "partial 16S ribosomal RNA". It matches the Rfam family "Bacterial small subunit ribosomal RNA", at positions 29 to 506 of the family's 1533-position model. The record is from RNAcentral.
AUGAACGCUGGCGGCGUGCCUAAUACAUGCAAGUCGAGCGAACAGAUGAGGAGCUUGCUCCUCUGACGUUAGCGGCGGACGGGUGAGUAACACGUGGAUAACCUACCUAUAAGACUGGGAUAACUUCGGGAAACCGGAGCUAAUACCGGAUAAUAUAUUGAACCGCAUGGUUCAAUAGUGAAAGACGGUUUUGCUGUCACUUAUAGAUGGAUCCGCGCCGCAUUAGCUAGUUGGUAAGGUAACGGCUUACCAAGGCAACGAUGCGUAGCCGACCUGAGAGGGGGAUCGGCCACACUGGAACUGAGACACGGUCCAGACUCCUACGGGAGGCAGCAGUAGGGAAUCUUCCGCAGUGGGCGAAAGCCUGACGGAGCAACGCCGCGUGAGUGAUGAAGGUCUUCGGAUCGUAAAACUCUGUUAUUAGGGAAGAACAAAUGUGUAAGUAACUAUGCACGUCUUGACGGUACCUAAUCAGAAAGCCACGGCUAACUACGU